This 935-nucleotide ribosomal RNA is filed under the name Salmonella enterica subsp. enterica serovar Emek. RNAcentral describes it as "partial 23S ribosomal RNA". It matches the Rfam family "Bacterial large subunit ribosomal RNA", at positions 608 to 1547 of the family's 2925-position model. The record is from RNAcentral. Lineage: Bacteria; Pseudomonadati; Pseudomonadota; Gammaproteobacteria; Enterobacterales; Enterobacteriaceae.
UUGUAUAAUGGGUCAGCGACUUAUAUUCUGUAGCAAGGUUAACCGUAUAGGGGAGCCGGAGGGAAACCGAGUCUUAAUUGGGCGUUAAGUUGCAGGGUAUAGACCCGAAACCCGGUGAUCUAGCCAUGGGCAGGUUGAAGGUUGGGUAACACUAACUGGAGGACCGAACCGACUAAUGUUGAAAAAUUAGCGGAUGACCUGUGGCUGGGGGUGAAAGGCCAAUCAAACCGGGAGAUAGCUGGUUCUCCCCGAAAGCUAUUUAGGUAGCGCCUCGUGAAUUCAUCUCCGGGGGUAGAGCACUGUUUCGGCUAGGGGGCCAUCCCGGCUUACCAACCCGAUGCAAACUGCGAAUACCGGAGAAUGUUAUCACGGGAGACACACGGCGGGUGCUAACGUCCGUCGUGAAGAGGGAAACAACCCAGACCGCCAGCUAAGGUCCCAAAGUCAUGGUUAAGUGGGAAACGAUGUGGGAAGGCCCAGACAGCCAGGAUGUUGGCUUAGAAGCAGCCAUCAUUUAAAGAAAGCGUAAUAGCUCACUGGUCGAGUCGGCCUGCGCGGAAGAUGUAACGGGGCUAAACCAUGCACCGAAGCUGCGGCAGCGACACUGUGUGUUGUUGGGUAGGGGAGCGUUCUGUAAGCCUGUGAAGGUGUGUCGUGAGGCAUGCUGGAGGUAUCAGAAGUGCGAAUGCUGACAUAAGUAACGAUAAAGCGGGUGAAAAGCCCGCUCGCCGGAAGACCAAGGGUUCCUGUCCAACGUUAAUCGGGGCAGGGUGAGUCGACCCCUAAGGCGAGGCCGAAAGGCGUAGUCGAUGGGAAACGGGUUAAUAUUCCCGUACUUGGUGUUACUGCGAAGGGGGGACGGAGAAGGCUAUGUUGGCCGGGCGACGGUUGUCCCGGUUUAAGCGUGUAGGUGUGUGUUCCAGGUAAAUCCGGUU